GACGAACGCUGGCGGCGUGCUUAACACAUGCAAGUCGAACGGAAAGGCCCUGCUUUUGUGGGGUGCUCGAGUGGCGAACGGGUGAGUAACACGUGAGUAACCUGCCCUUGACUUUGGGAUAACUUCAGGAAACUGGGGCUAAUACCGGAUAGGAGCUCCUGCUGCAUGGUGGGGGUUGGAAAGUUUCGGCGGUUGGGGAUGGACUCGCGGCUUAUCAGCUUGUUGGUGGGGUAGUGGCUUACCAAGGCUUUGACGGGUAGCCGGCCUGAGAGGGUGACCGGCCACAGUGGGACUGAGAUACGGCCCAGACUCCUACGGGAGGCAGCAGUGGGGAAUAUUGCACAAUGGGCGGAAGCCUGAUGCAGCAACGCCGCGUGCGGGAUGACGGCCUUCGGGUUGUAAACCGCUUUCGCCUGUGACGAAGCGUGAGUGACGGUAAUGGGUAAAGAAGCACCGGCUAACUACGUGC
This 469-nucleotide ribosomal RNA is filed under the name uncultured bacterium. RNAcentral's name for it is "partial 16S ribosomal RNA". It matches the Rfam family "Bacterial small subunit ribosomal RNA", at positions 28 to 508 of the family's 1533-position model. The record is from RNAcentral.